This 62-nucleotide small nucleolar RNA is filed under the name Leishmania donovani. The record is from RNAcentral. Lineage: Eukaryota; Euglenozoa; Kinetoplastea; Trypanosomatida; Trypanosomatidae.
UCUGCGCGCUGAUCAACCGCAUUACGCCCUUGUCGCUUCCUCAAUCUUCCUCCUCCCCCACU